CUACGGGAUGCUCCAGUGAGGAAUAUUGCACAAUGGAGGAAACUCUGAUGCAGCAACGCCGCGUGGAGGAUGACGCAUUUCGGUGUGUAAACUCCUUUUAUGAGUCAAGAAAAUGACGGUAGCUCAUGAAUAAGCACCGGCUAACUCCGUGCCAGCAGCCGCGGUAAUACGGAGGGUGCAAGCGUUACUCGGAAUCACUGGGCGUAAAGGACGCGUAGGCGGGAUAUCAAGUCAGGUGUGAAAUCCUACAGCUUAACUGUAGAACUGCACUUGAAACUGGUAACCUAGAGUAUGGGAGGGGGAGAUGGAAUUAGUGGUGUAGGGGUAAAAUCCGUAGAUAUCACUAGGAAUACCUAAAGCGAAGGCGAUCUCCUGGAACAUAACUGACGCUAAGGCGUGAAAGCGUGGGGAGCAAACAGGAUUAGAUACCCUCGUAGUC
This 439-nucleotide ribosomal RNA is filed under the name uncultured bacterium. RNAcentral describes it as "partial 16S ribosomal RNA". It matches the Rfam family "Bacterial small subunit ribosomal RNA", at positions 339 to 795 of the family's 1533-position model. The record is from RNAcentral.